CGACUGAGGAAGGUGCCUGCGUCGGCCGCCAGCUUCUUCACGUUGAAGUCCAUGAUAUUCAUCCUAGGCGGCAGCCGGGCGGAGCCGGCCGACCUAGCGGCGGCGAGGCGGAGGUGCCGCGGCCGGGCUGGGGCGCAGGGCUAGAGCGGCGAGGGCAGACGUGGUAGGUGGAGGGAGGCGGCGCCAGCCCCGCAGCCGCAGCUGUCGUUUCCGUGAACGGGGAGGAUGAAGGCGGGGCGAGGGAGGAGAACAAGCGCGCGGCGGCAGCGCCAAGGAUGGGUCAGUCGGCUCGGAGAACGGCCGCUAACGUCGACGAUGGGCCCCGCGGGCGAGCCGGAGAUGGACGGGCGACCCCGCCGUGUGGACCCGGGUCCCAAGGGAAAAACAAGCGCGGGCCGCGGGGCGGAGCCUUUCUCGAGGUUAUCGCGGGAACAGCGACCCCUUGAGGAUUGCGGCGGCGCAGCCCCGGGGCGCGCCGGGAGCUCCGCCCGGCUCCUGUGGAGGAAGCGGCGAGGGCGAGCCGCGGGGUCUCGGCGCCUCUGUAUGCUUGCACUUAACGAGAACCCAGAGCGAACACGACCCACAUUUCUCUUUUUGUUUUAAGAGGAAAUAUAGGAGUUACAGCAUAGAAUUACAAUAUCUGGACAUUAGAAAUAACAGGUCCCGGUCACGGUAUGGCACCGCGCGACACACUUGGUCCCUGAGGCCUGGAUGCCGCUCAGCAAACGUUCGCGGAAUAGGGUUGGGUUUACUGUCCCCCACCGAGCCGGUUGCUCAUUCAUUCAGCAUAAUUGAAUACCUCCUGUGUGCCAGGCACUGAAUCAAGUGUCGGAGACAAUGUCCUGCCCUCAAGCUCCUGGCCGGUUACUUGACAACCUUCCGGGACCUCAACGCUAUGUGCCUACUGUGUGAAAGCAAAGUGCCAGGUGGAGGACACAAAGAUGGCGAGCGACACAGGAUAGUCCUUAACAAUUAAGCGUGACUAAUUUUAAUAACAAAUGAGAAUAUGAUGUGACAUCCGUUCCAAAUCCUGUCGUUCCAAGUAACUUCUUAAGCAUCUUUCACGAUACAGCCUCUGCUUGAAAGGAAUUAAAACAGGUACAAGCAUGGAAGGAGACGUUGCUAUCAUAUUUCAAGAAUAAGAAAAUGCUGUUUUGUGUGGUUGUGCAGCAGGCAAUGAAAUGAGCUUACAUUCAAGCUUCCGUGUUUUACUGAAACAACAGUCACAGAUGCAGUAGAUGUUAAAGGUUGAAAGACGAGUGCAGUAAAAGCAUUAUGAGGACAAGAAGAAAACGUAAAUAUUUGUGUUGUUUCAUUCUUUGUUGUGGUGGCAGAAACAGCCCCCUCUUUCUAAGAGUAAGGAAGGACUGAAAGGAGGAGAAACUAUGGGUUGCCUUUUCCUUCUGUCAUCUGUUCAGCGUAAGUGGUUGGCAGCUUUAAAAAACCAUUUACUUUGUACUCUCAUUGGUCUUCUGGAAUUCACUACUCAUAGAUGUAUUGAAAACACUAUAUAUGAAUGGGGCCUCAAGGAACAGCAGCAGACAUGUGUCUGUAAGUGCUGAUGUAUAAAGAUUUCCAAGAUACCAUAUUAAUAAAAAAAGUGUAUGGAACAGUGUAUGGGUAAUUGAGUGUAAAUAAAAAGGAAUAUGUGUUAUAUAUAUAUGUAAGUACUUUGUAUAUGCAUAACUUGUAAAAUAAAAAUAAUUUUAAGAAACUACAUAUAGCAGUUACCUUUGGGGAGAAGGUAUGGGGUAAGGAGCGGGA
This 1764-nucleotide long non-coding RNA is filed under the name Homo sapiens (human). RNAcentral describes it as "HSALNT0293537". Lineage: Eukaryota; Metazoa; Chordata; Mammalia; Primates; Hominidae. The record is from RNAcentral.